RNAcentral lists this ribosomal RNA (434 nucleotides) under uncultured bacterium. RNAcentral describes it as "bacterial SSU rRNA". It matches the Rfam family "Bacterial small subunit ribosomal RNA", at positions 355 to 786 of the family's 1533-position model. The record is from RNAcentral.
UAAGGAAUAUUGGUCAAUGGGCGGAAGCCUGAACCAGCCAUGCCGCGUGCAGGAAGACGGCCCUACGGGUUGUAAACUGCUUUUGCAGGGGAAUAAACCCCCGAUCGUGAUCGGGGCUGAAUGUACUCUGAGAAUAAGGAUCGGCUAACUCCGUGCCAGCAGCCGCGGUAAUACGGAGGAUCCAAGCGUUAUCCGGAUUUAUUGGGUUUAAAGGGUGCGUAGGUGGCCUGUUAAGUCAGGGGUGAAAGACGGUAGCUUAACUAUCGCAGUGCCCUUGAUACUGAUGGGCUUGAAUGGACUAGAGGCAGGCGGAAUGUGACAAGUAGCGGUGAAAUGCAUAGAUAUGUCACAGAACACCGAUUGCGAAGGCAGCUUACUAUGGUUUAAUUGACACUGAGGCACGAAAGCGUGGGGAUCAAACAGGAUUAGAUACC